This 2057-nucleotide ribosomal RNA is filed under the name Salmonella enterica. Its description in RNAcentral is "partial 23S ribosomal RNA". It matches the Rfam family "Bacterial large subunit ribosomal RNA", at positions 161 to 2238 of the family's 2925-position model. The record is from RNAcentral. Lineage: Bacteria; Pseudomonadati; Pseudomonadota; Gammaproteobacteria; Enterobacterales; Enterobacteriaceae.
AAUCCAUAGGUUAAUGAGGCGAACCGGGGGAACUGAAACAUCUAAGUACCCCGAGGAAAAGAAAUCAACCGAGAUUCCCCCAGUAGCGGCGAGCGAACGGGGAGGAGCCCAGAGCCUGAAUCAGCAUGUGUGUUAGUGGAAGCGUCUGGAAAGGCGCGCGAUACAGGGUGACAGCCCCGUACACAAAAGCGCAUGUGCUGUGAGCUCGAUGAGUAGGGCGGGACACGUGGUAUCCUGUCUGAAUAUGGGGGGACCAUCCUCCAAGGCUAAAUACUCCUGACUGACCGAUAGUGAACCAGUACCGUGAGGGAAAGGCGAAAAGAACCCCGGCGAGGGGAGUGAAAAAGAACCUGAAACCGUGUACGUACAAGCAGUGGGAGCACAGGUUUACCUGUGUGACUGCGUACCUUUUGUAUAAUGGGUCAGCGACUUAUAUUCUGUAGCAAGGUUAACCGUAUAGGGGAGCCGGAGGGAAACCGAGUCUUAAUUGGGCGUUAAGUUGCAGGGUAUAGACCCGAAACCCGGUGAUCUAGCCAUGGGCAGGUUGAAGGUUGGGUAACACUAACUGGAGGACCGAACCGACUAAUGUUGAAAAAUUAGCGGAUGACCUGUGGCUGGGGGUGAAAGGCCAAUCAAACCGGGAGAUAGCUGGUUCUCCCCGAAAGCUAUUUAGGUAGCGCCUCGUGAAUUCAUCUCCGGGGGUAGAGCACUGUUUCGGCUAGGGGGCCAUCCCGGCUUACCAACCCGAUGCAAACUGCGAAUACCGGAGAAUGUUAUCACGGGAGACACACGGCGGGUGCUAACGUCCGUCGUGAAGAGGGAAACAACCCAGACCGCCAGCUAAGGUCCCAAAGUCAUGGUUAAGUGGGAAACGAUGUGGGAAGGCCCAGACAGCCAGGAUGUUGGCUUAGAAGCAGCCAUCAUUUAAAGAAAGCGUAAUAGCUCACUGGUCGAGUCGGCCUGCGCGGAAGAUGUAACGGGGCUAAACCAUGCACCGAAGCUGCGGCAGCGACGCUUAUGCGUUGUUGGGUAGGGGAGCGUUCUGUAAGCCUGUGAAGGUGUGUCGUGAGGCAUGCUGGAGGUAUCAGAAGUGCGAAUGCUGACAUAAGUAACGAUAAAGCGGGUGAAAAGCCCGCUCGCCGGAAGACCAAGGGUUCCUGUCCAACGUUAAUCGGGGCAGGGUGAGUCGACCCCUAAGGCGAGGCCGAAAGGCGUAGUCGAUGGGAAACGGGUUAAUAUUCCCGUACUUGGUGUUACUGCGAAGGGGGGACGGAGAAGGCUAUGUUGGCCGGGCGACGGUUGUCCCGGUUUAAGCGUGUAGGUGUGUGUUCCAGGUAAAUCCGGUUCACUUUAACACUGAGGCGUGAUGACGAGGCACUACGGUGCUGAAGUAACAAAUGCCCUGCUUCCAGGAAAAGCCUCUAAGCAUCAGGUAACAUCAAAUCGUACCCCAAACCGACACAGGUGGUCAGGUAGAGAAUACCAAGGCGCUUGAGAGAACUCGGGUGAAGGAACUAGGCAAAAUGGUGCCGUAACUUCGGGAGAAGGCACGCUGACACGUAGGUGAAGUGAUUUACUCACGGAGCUGAAGUCAGUCGAAGAUACCAGCUGGCUGCAACUGUUUAUUAAAAACACAGCACUGUGCAAACACGAAAGUGGACGUAUACGGUGUGACGCCUGCCCGGUGCCGGAAGGUUAAUUGAUGGGGUCAGCGCAAGCGAAGCUCCUGAUCGAAGCCCCGGUAAACGGCGGCCGUAACUAUAACGGUCCUAAGGUAGCGAAAUUCCUUGUCGGGUAAGUUCCGACCUGCACGAAUGGCGUAAUGAUGGCCAGGCUGUCUCCACCCGAGACUCAGUGAAAUUGAACUCGCUGUGAAGAUGCAGUGUACCCGCGGCAAGACGGAAAGACCCCGUGAACCUUUACUAUAGCUUGACACUGAACAUUGAGCCUUGAUGUGUAGGAUAGGUGGGAGGCUUUGAAGUGUGGACGCCAGUCUGCAUGGAGCCGACCUUGAAAUACCACCCUUUAAUGUUUGAUGUUCUAACGUGGACCCGUUA